GAUGAAGAACGCAGCGAAAUGCGAUACGUAAUGUGAAUUGCAGAUCUCUCAGUGAACCAUCGAAUCUUUGAACGCACAUUGCGCCCGCCAGUAUUCUGGCGGGCAUGCCUGUCUGAGCGUCAUUUCAACCCUCAUGCCCCUAGGGCGUGGUGUUGGGGAUCGGCCAAAGCCCGCGAGGGACGGCCGGCCCCUAAAUCUAGUGGCGGACCCGUCGUGGCCUCCUCUGCGAAGUAGUGAUAUUCCGCAUCGGAGAGCGAUGAGCCCCUGCCGUUAAACCCCCAACUUUCCAAGGUUGACCUCAGAUCAGGUAGGAAUACCCGCUGAACUUAAGCAUAUCAAUAAGCGGAGGA
This 350-nucleotide unclassified non-coding RNA is filed under the name soil metagenome. RNAcentral's name for it is "partial contains 5.8S ribosomal RNA, internal transcribed spacer 2, and large subunit ribosomal RNA". The stretch from base 1 to 122 matches the Rfam family "5.8S ribosomal RNA", at positions 35 to 154 of the family's 154-position model. The record is from RNAcentral.